RNAcentral lists this ribosomal RNA (495 nucleotides) under uncultured bacterium. RNAcentral's name for it is "partial 16S ribosomal RNA". It matches the Rfam family "Bacterial small subunit ribosomal RNA", at positions 28 to 505 of the family's 1533-position model. The record is from RNAcentral.
GAUGAACGCUGGCGGCGUGCCUAAUACAUGCAAGUCGAGCGAACAGACGAGGAGCUUGCUCCUCUGACGUUAGCGGCGGACGGGUGAGUAACACGUGGAUAACCUACCUAUAAGACUGGGAUAACUUCGGGAAACCGGAGCUAAUACCGGAUAAUAUAUUGAACCGCAUGGUUCAAUAGUGAAAGACGGUUUUGCUGUCACUUAUAGAUGGAUCCGCGCCGCAUUAGCUAGUUGGUAAGGUAACGGCUUACCAAGGCAACGAUGCGUAGCCGACCUGAGAGGGUGAUCGGCCACGCUGGAACUGAGACACGGUCCAGACUCCUACGGGAGGCAGCAGUAGGGAAUCUUCCGCAAUGGGCGAAAGCCUGACGGAGCAACGCCGCGUGAAUGAUGAAGGUCUUCGGAUCGUAAAACUCUGUUAUUAGGGAAGAACAAAUGUGUAAGUAACUAUGCACGUCUUGACGGUACCUAAUCAGAAAGCCACGGCGAACUACG